RNAcentral lists this unclassified non-coding RNA (1001 nucleotides) under Zea mays. RNAcentral's name for it is "misc RNA Zm00001eb149350". Lineage: Eukaryota; Viridiplantae; Streptophyta; Magnoliopsida; Poales; Poaceae. The record is from RNAcentral.
CCGUCGACCUCCUCCUGCGGUUUCUCCGUGACGCCGCCGUCUCCGUCCUUGCUCUCGGCGGUGGCGGCCACGUCGACGACGACGCCAUCGUCGUCGGUGCCGAGGUCGUAGAUCCUGUUCUCCCGCUUGGUCUCCCGUAUCCUGUCCAGGCUCUCCCGGACCCUGAGCGCCAGCGGGAUGAGCACGGGGGUGGCCAGCAGCACGGCGAGGCUGACCACGUGCUCCCUCGACGACAGCCCGCCGCCGGACGUGGAGGAGCCGAUGCUGCCAACCACGGCGCAGGCCCCCGUGGCGAGCGUGAUGGCGAACAUGACGAGGAAUGCCGCGUCCGUGCUGGCCCCCGCCUGGCCCUCGCCCGUGACCGUGAGGUCCACCGCCCUGAGCGACGGCGCCACCGCGACGGUGACGAGCAUGGGCACGACGGCAUUGAGGAGGAGGUAGGUCUUGGCCUUGGAGGUGGCCUGGUGGCCGGGUAUGGAGUCCGCCAGGCUGGUGUAGACCUUGGCGCUGAGGCCGAGGUAGCUGGCGGCGAGGCUCACGGCGACGCGGCUGCGGCUGCUGCCGAAGUUGCGGAUGCAGAGGAGGUAGCAGACGGUGUUGAUCCAGCAGAUGCCGUUCCCGGCCAGGGAGGUGAGCAGGAACAGGUGCCAGUAGCGGAGGGCGGCGCUGUCGAGGAAGAGGUACUGGACCCCGUAGCCGACGAGGCCGAAGGAUGCGCCGACCAAGGCCACGAGCCACAGCGGCAGGUGCAGCGCCGCCACCCCGGAGAACCAGCCGAAGAGCUUGCCCGCGUCGGACGCGAAGGCCAGGAAGUUGAGCUGCACCUGCGUGAUGUGCUUCAGGUCCUUGAGCUGCGACGAGUAGACGGGGAAGUCCGCGUUGGGCCCGUUGAUGGUCUGCAGCCAGAUGCUCCCGACGAGGCUCAGCCAGUGGGCCGAGGAAGGGGAAGGCAUGGUGAGGGAGGGAGGGAGAGGAGUCGUGUCCCUCUCCGUGGUGCUUGC